This 490-nucleotide ribosomal RNA is filed under the name uncultured bacterium. Its description in RNAcentral is "partial 16S ribosomal RNA". It matches the Rfam family "Bacterial small subunit ribosomal RNA", at positions 28 to 507 of the family's 1533-position model. The record is from RNAcentral.
GAUGAACGCUAGCUACAGGCUUAACACAUGCAAGUCGCGGGGCAGCAUGGGGGUUGCUUGCAUUCCCCGAUGGCGACCGGCGCACGGGUGAGUAACGCGUAUCCAACCUGCCCUUCACCACGGGAUAACCCGGCGAAAGUCGGACUAAUACCGUAUGUUGUCCAUUGACGGCAUCCGAUUUGGACGAAAGGUUUGGCGGUGAAGGAUGGGGAUGCGUCCGAUUAGCUGGACGGCGGGGUGACGGCCCACCGUGGCGACGAUCGGUAGGGGUUCUGAGAGGAAGGUCCCCCACACUGGAACUGAGACACGGUCCAGACUCCUACGGGAGGCAGAAGUGAGGAAUAUUGAUCAAUGGGCGUAAGCCUGAACCAGCCAAGUAGCGUGCAGGAUGACGGCCCUAUGGGUUGUAAACUGCUUUUAUGCGGGGAUAAAGUGGCCCACGUGUGGGUUUUUGCAGGUACCGCAUGAAUAAGGACCGGCUAAUUCCGUG